RNAcentral lists this ribosomal RNA (253 nucleotides) under uncultured bacterium. RNAcentral describes it as "partial 16S ribosomal RNA". It matches the Rfam family "Bacterial small subunit ribosomal RNA", at positions 524 to 776 of the family's 1533-position model. The record is from RNAcentral.
UACGUAGGGCGCAAGCGUUGUCCGGAAUUAUUGGGCGUAAAGAGCUCGUAGGCGGCUUGUCACGUCGGAUGUGAAAGCCCGAGGCUUAACCUCGGGUCUGCAUUCGAUACGGGCUAGCUAGAGUGUGGUAGGGGAGAUCGGAAUUCCUGGUGUAGCGGUGAAAUGCGCAGAUAUCAGGAGGAACACCGGUGGCGAAGGCGGAUCUCUGGGCCAUUACUGACGCUGAGGAGUGAAAGCGUGGGGAGCGAACAGG